CAGUGCUUCCUGACUGCUUGACUGACUGGACGGCCGGCCGGCCAACUUACCUCAGCUGUUGCAGCCGUUGUCAUUCAGAUGAUUAGUGCUCAGUUUGGAACUGCGCCUGCGCAGCGUUCUUGUCGAUCGUUGUUUUUUGGCCAGAUACUUUCAAAAGGCACAAAACUGUCGCCUGGUCUGGAAAUGUAUCGCGUGCGUGGUUGCGUGCUCCUUGGUUGCAUGCCGCAUAAGCGGAACCUGUCCUCGGCUCAGGCACUCAUCUCGUAUGCACACUGGGCAGAAUCAACAAUGCCUUAAGCCAACUUGAUGAGCCCUCAUCAUUUGCCUGGCCAGAAAGGCCACGAACUGGUCAAUGUGCAGAUAAGAGACACCUGCUCCCGCAUUCCGGCAUUGAUUGUUGAAUCCAAUUUCGUAUACUCAUUAAAAUAAAUGUGUUUUAAAGUGAGUUGAAUUACUAGAGACGCAUUUUUCGAUUCCACUCACUUUUGGAAUCUGUAUGAAGAUUAUUUGUUUAUAAAUUGUUAAAUAUAAUAUAUAUUUAUAUAUUAUAUAUAUAUAUAUUUAUAUUAUUAUAUAUAAAUUGCUAAAAUAUUUAAAUUAUAUAUAAGUUUAGUGUACAAGGAGUAAUAAUUCAUAUGGUUUAGUAGGCAAUACUAUAACAAUAACUAUUUUACCAUUAAUGAUUUAUGAGCAGUAGUGCCAACCUUAUAUUUUAUUCUGCAGCCAGGUGUUACAACCCAGUUGGUUAUUACAUAAAGUGAUUUGUUUUUAGUAUAAGUGCAAUUGGAAAGAACAAUGCUGGUGGCCCAUCAAAUCGUAUAGAGUACCUGCUUUUAGCACCUGCACGAGACCUCAAAAGAGCCUUCAAUGGGAAGCACCCGUUGAAAUCCCCAUCGAAUAUGAGUGGAAUGAAAUUUGAACUCCAUUCGAGUCGUGCCACGCUCACAUUUAAUACCAAUUCAGGGAGUGAACUGGAGAGGACCGACAGACUUUCCAGGCCAUUACCUUAAUAUGCUGACCAUAACGUGAGCCAUUCGCUGCCAUUUCCAGCCACAUUUCCCUGCAUAAAAGCCAACAAUAUAACGGGCGACAAUGAAACAAAUGCUCAGUGGGGUGGUGGCAUGGACACGAGGGCAAAUGGUCGGCUAGUGGGGGUUGGGAGAGUGCCAUGCAAAUGGCGGUAGCCACCACUCCCAGGUGCAAUGCCCCAUCCCACAAUGCACUUGUCGUGUGCAACAAGCUAGAACAGAAUGACAACAAACAAAGGCAUCAAAUUAAAAACUAAACUGCGUCCACUCAAAAUAUGCAAACAGUACGGCCGGAUGGCAAGGGCAAGUUGUAUGUCCCAUGCAUGUGGCAUGGAUGUGCAUGUGGCCACCGCUUGAUUAUGCAGCCACAUCCAUUGAUGAUGGCCACCACAAAGGGGCUGGCCAGCAGCUCCGGCUUGUUCUCUGCCUUCUCUGACCAACGUUCGCUGCCAGCACUACAUUAAAAAGUAAAACCGAAAACGACAUCGAAAUAAUAGGUAGUGCGCAAUUGGGAGACCCGAAGAUGGGAAUACACUUGGAUACCUUCAAUAUGCCCUUACCUUAAUUGUUAGGCGAUAAUUGGAGAACAUACUUUAAUUGUUAAUAAUAAUAACUAAUGUACGCAGCUUCUACAGCUUCUAACU
Drosophila melanogaster (fruit fly) is the source of this 1672-nucleotide non-coding RNA. NCBI's taxonomy places the organism in Eukaryota, Metazoa, Arthropoda, Insecta, Diptera, Drosophilidae. The record is from Ensembl.